RNAcentral lists this ribosomal RNA (253 nucleotides) under uncultured bacterium. Its description in RNAcentral is "partial 16S ribosomal RNA". It matches the Rfam family "Bacterial small subunit ribosomal RNA", at positions 524 to 776 of the family's 1533-position model. The record is from RNAcentral.
UACGUAGGGUGCGAGCGUUGUCCGGAAUUACUGGGCGUAAAGAGCUCGUAGGUGGUUUGUCGCGUUGUUCGUGAAAUCUCACGGCUUAACUGUGAGCGUGCGGGCGAUACGGGCAGACUGGAGUACUGCAGGGGAGACUGGAAUUCCUGGUGUAGCGGUGGAAUGCGCAGAUAUCAGGAGGAACACCGGUGGCGAAGGCGGGUCUCUGGGCAGUAACUGACGCUGAGGCACGAAAGCGUGGGGAGCAAACAGG